UGGGGAAUCUUCCGCAAUGGACGAAAGUCUGACGGAGCAACGCCGCGUGUAUGAUGAAGGUCUUCGGAUUGUAAAGUACUGUCAUUGGGGAAGAACGGUUUUCUUGAGAAUAUUGAGAAGACAUGACGGUACCCAAGGAGGAAGCCCCGGCUAACUACGUGCCAGCAGCCGCGGUAAUACGUAGGGGGCAAGCGUUGUCCGGAAUUAUUGGGCGUAAAGGGCGCGUAGGCGGGCCUUUAAGUCCGGUGUGAAAGAUCAGGGCUCAACCCUGAGAGUGCAUCGGAAACUGGAGGCCUUGAGGACAGGAGAGGAAAGUGGAAUUCCACGUGUAGCGGUGAAAUGCGUAGAUAUGUGGAGGGACACCAGUGGCGAAGGCGACUUUCUGGACUGUAACUGACGCUGAGGCGCGAAAGCGUGGGGAGCAAACAGGAUUAGAUACCCUGGUAGUCCACGCCGUAAACGAUGAGUGCUAGGUGUAGAGGGUAUCGACCCCUUCUGUGCCGCAGUUAACACAAUAAGUACUCCGUCUGGGAAGUACGAUCGCAAGAUUAAAACUCAAAGGAAUUGACGGGGUCAUAGCUGUUUUCCU
This 589-nucleotide ribosomal RNA is filed under the name uncultured bacterium. Its description in RNAcentral is "partial 16S ribosomal RNA". It matches the Rfam family "Bacterial small subunit ribosomal RNA", at positions 355 to 1375 of the family's 1533-position model. The record is from RNAcentral.